AGCUCGUAUAAGCGAAGGUCUGGAAGAAGAAACAGAAAACAAAUUCACAUUUCUCGUCAAAGCAAGUGAAGAAUUUGAAGAUCUCAAACCAUCAAAGCUCCGUAUCUGGAUCUUCGGGUCCUUCAACACCGCAGUGUUGGCCGCUCCAAAGGAGGUCGUCGUCGUCGUCAUGAACUGGGGAUUGGUUGAGUGGCGAUGACUGAGCUAAGAAAUGAAAACGAAAACAAAAAUUUUAUGGCACUUAAUAAUAAUCUGCAGGAUUGUGGUCGUUUGCUAAUGUGCGUCGUCACGUGCCUGACACGAGCACCUUUUUGAGCCGGUUCACUUCAGUAAUGCUCGACGCGCUCCCCGGCUCUUGCCAAUUGCGAUAUUCCAAUUUCCA
This 382-nucleotide unclassified non-coding RNA is filed under the name Hevea brasiliensis (rubber tree). The record is from RNAcentral. Lineage: Eukaryota; Viridiplantae; Streptophyta; Magnoliopsida; Malpighiales; Euphorbiaceae.